CCACACCAAAAAACUUUYCCACGUGAACCGUAAUAAUCAUGUUUUGUGCCUUCUCUCGGGAGGGCUAAACGAAGGUGGGCCGCUUUAUUGUGGUCUGCCGAUGUAUUUUUCAAACCCAUUUACUUUAAUACUGAACUAUACUCCGAGAACAAAAGUUUUUGGUUUUAAUCAAUAACAACUUUCAGCAGUGGAUGUCUAGGCUCGCACAUCGAUGAAGAACGCUGCGAACUGCGAUACGUAAUGCGAAUUGCAGAAUUCAGUGAGUCAUCGAAAUUUUGAACGCACAUUGCACUUUCGGGAUAUUCCUGGAAGUAUGCUUGUAUCAGUGUCCGUACAUCAAACUUGCCUUUCUUUUUUUGUGUAGUCAAGAUUAGAAACGGCAGAAUGUGAGGUGUCUCGCUGGCUCCCUCUUCGGAGGAGAAGACGCGAGUCCCUUUAAAUGUACGUUCGCUCUUUCUUGUGUCUAAGUAGAAGUGUGACUUUCGAACGCAGUGAUCUGUUUGGAUCGCUUUGCGCGAGUGGGCGACUUCGGUUAGGACAUUAAAGGAAGCAACCUCUAUUGGCGGUAUGUUAGGCUUCGGCCCGACUUUGCAGCUGACAGUGUGUUGUUUUCUGUUCUUUCCUUGAGGUGUACCUGUCUUGUGUGAGGCAAUGGUCUGGGCAAAUGGUUAUUGUGUAGUAGAAUUUUGCUGCUCUUGGGCGCCUCACUUGUGGGGUAAAGAAGACAACACCAAUUUGGGACAGUUUGUGGGAUUUAUCUCGCAGGCGCUUUUUUCAAUUGGACCUGAUAUCAAGUAAGACUACCCGCUGAACUUAAG
Molecule: ribosomal RNA, 818 nt
Filed under: Pythium sulcatum
Lineage: Eukaryota; Oomycota; Peronosporomycetes; Pythiales; Pythiaceae
Description: eukaryotic LSU rRNA
Rfam family: 5.8S ribosomal RNA (bases 177-331)
Source: RNAcentral